GGAAGGAUCAUUACAGAAUUGUCAACGGGUUGUUGCUGGUCCUCGAACGGGGACAUGUGCACGCUCUGUUUACACAUCCACUCACACCUGUGCACCCUCUGUAGUUCUGUGGUCUGGGGGACCCUGUCUUCCUGCCGUGGUUCUACGUCUUUACACACACACUGUAAUAAAGUCUUAUGGAAUGUAUGCCGCGUCUAACGCAAUACAAUACAACUUUCAGCAACGGAUCUCUUGGCUCUCGCAUCGAUGAAGAACGCAGCGAAAUGCGAUAAGUAAUGUGAAUUGCAGAAUUCAGUGAAUCAUCGAAUCUUUGAACGCACCUUGCGCCCCUUGGCUAUUCUGAGGGGCAUGCCUGUUUGAGUAUCAUGAACACCUCAACUCUCAUGGUUCGCCGUGAUGAGCUUGGACUCUGGGGGUUUUGCUGGCCUGCGGUCGGCUCCCCUCAAAUAAAUCAGCCUCCCAGUGUUUGGUGGCAUCACGGGUGUGAUAAAUAUCUACGCUCGCAGUUGUCUGCCAGGUAACCUUUGGUGACAAAGGUUCGCUGGAGCUCACAGAUGUCUCUCCUCAGCGAGGACAGCUUUUUGAACGUUCGAUCUCAAAUCAGGUAGGACUACCCGCUGAACUUAAGCAUAUCAAUAAGCGGAGGAAAAGAAACUAACAAGGAUUCCCCUAGUAACUGCGAGUGAAGCGGGAAGAGCUCAAAUUUAAAAUCUGGCGUG
RNAcentral lists this small RNA (719 nucleotides) under uncultured fungus. RNAcentral's name for it is "eukaryotic LSU rRNA". The stretch from base 212 to 366 matches the Rfam family "5.8S ribosomal RNA". The record is from RNAcentral. Lineage: Eukaryota; Fungi.